UUCCUCCCUUCCUCUUGAGUUUCCUGAGAGUGUCUCAGAUUUGAAACUCCUCCUUCUACUUUCCAUCUUUGGAAGAGUCCAAAUCAAGAAGAAGGAGGCACCUGAUCAACCAUCAAAGAAGGAUCAGCGCAGUACUAGCAUACUGUGCUGAUUUCUUGAAGCAGGACUUCUGAUCGAGAUUCGUGGGCUCAUGUGGAUGACUCUUAGAGGUCAGACACAUGUGCGGCUUACAACA
This 235-nucleotide long non-coding RNA is filed under the name Elaeis guineensis (African oil palm). RNAcentral describes it as "long non-coding RNA (EGUI_LNC064780)". Lineage: Eukaryota; Viridiplantae; Streptophyta; Magnoliopsida; Arecales; Arecaceae. The record is from RNAcentral.